UCCGGUUUAACACCGGCAGUCUCCUUAGAGUGCCCAACUUAAUGAUGGCAACUAAUGGACAAGGGUUGCGCUCGUUAAAGGACUUAACCCAACAUCUCACGAUACGAGCUGACGACAGCCAUGCAGCACCUGUACCACCAGCCCCCGAAGGGGAAGUCCCAUCUCUGGGAUUGUCUGAUGUUGUCUAAUCCAGGUAAGGUUUUUCGCGUUGCAUCGAAUUAAACCACAUGCUCCACCGCUUGUGCGGGCCCCCGUCAAUUCCUUUGAGUUUUAACCUUGCGGCCGUACUUCCCAGGCGGGGUACUUAAUGCGUUAGCGUCGACACUGUAGGGGUCAAUUCCCACAACAUCUAGUACCCAUCGUUUACGGCGUGGACUAC
Molecule: unclassified non-coding RNA, 379 nt
Filed under: uncultured delta proteobacterium
Lineage: Bacteria; Deltaproteobacteria
Description: contains 16S-23S intergenic spacer region
Source: RNAcentral